AGGGGGGCGCCUUACACAUGCAGUCGAGCGAGAACUGGCUUCGGCCAGCGGAAAGCGGCGGAACGGGUGAGUAACACGUGGGCAACCCACCCUUGGUAUCCGGAUAGCCCGGGGAAACCCGGAUUAAUACGGAAUGGCCCAACAGCUCUUCGGGGCGGUUGGAAAAGGUAGCUUCGGCUCCGACAAGGACGGGCCCGCGGGGAUUAACUUGUUGGUGAGGUAACGGCCACCAAGGCGAGAUCCGUACUGGUCUGAGAGGACGAUCAGCACACUGGGACUGAGACACGGGCCAGAAUCCUAACGGGGAAGGCAGCAGUGGGGGAAUCUUGCGCAAUGGGCGAAAGCCUGACGCAGCGACGCCGCGUGGGGGAAGAAGGCUUUCGGGUUGUAAACCCCUUUCAGGAAGGACGAAGCCACUCGGGUUAAUAGCCCAGAGGGUGACGGUACUUCCAGAAGAAGCCCCGGCUAACUACGUGCCAGCAGCCGCGGUAAUACGUAGGGGGCAAGCGUUGUCCGGAUUUAUUGGGCGUAAAGAGCGUGUAGGCGGUUAGGUAGGUCCGUUGUGAAAACUCGAGGCUCAACUCGAGACGCCGAUGGAAACCCCCUAGCUAGAGUCCGGAAGAGGAGAGUGGAAUUCCU
This 639-nucleotide ribosomal RNA is filed under the name uncultured bacterium. RNAcentral's name for it is "bacterial SSU rRNA". It matches the Rfam family "Bacterial small subunit ribosomal RNA", at positions 38 to 671 of the family's 1533-position model. The record is from RNAcentral.